This 541-nucleotide ribosomal RNA is filed under the name uncultured euryarchaeote. Its description in RNAcentral is "bacterial SSU rRNA". It matches the Rfam family "Archaeal small subunit ribosomal RNA", at positions 343 to 844 of the family's 1478-position model. The record is from RNAcentral. Lineage: Archaea; Methanobacteriati; Methanobacteriota.
GAACCUUUGCAAUGCGCGAAAGCGUGACAGGGGAACUCCGAGUGGUAGAGGCAUAUUGCUCUCCUAGCCUUUUGGCCAAUCUAAAAAGUUGGCAGAAUAAGAUCUGGGUAAGACCAGUGCCAGCCGCCAUGGUAUGMUUUUARCACCAGCAUUGGCACGGUACGCGGUAAUACUGGCAGAACNAGUGGURUCCACGAAUAUUGGGUCUAAAGAGUCCGUAGCGGGUCGGYUAAGUCCACUGUGAAAUCCAACAGCUYAACUGUURGGCGUGCAGUGGAUACUGACWGGCUUGGGAGUGGGGGAGGUCAGGAGUACUUGUGGGGUARUGGUAAAAUACUGUAAUCCUACAAGGACUACCAGUGGCGAAGGCGCCUGACCAAAACACGUCCGACCGUGAGGGACGAAGGCUAGGAGAACGAAUCGGAUUAGAUACCCGAGUAGCCCUAGCAGUAAAUAAUGCAGACUGUGGUGUUGCCASGACUUCGCGUCGUGGCAGUGCUGUAGCGUAGGUGUUAAGUCUGCCACCUGGGAGUACCGCCGC